UUUCCGUAGGUGAACCUGCGGAAGGAUCAUUACAGAGUUCAUGCCCUCACGGGUAGAUCUCCCACCCUUGAAUAUUUAUACCUUAGUUGCUUUGGCAGGCCGUGGAAACACCAUGGGCUCCGGCUUAUGCGUGCCUGCCAGAGGAAACAAACUCUGUUUUUAGUGAUGUCUGAGUACUAUAUAAUAGUUAAAACUUUCAACAACGGAUCUCUUGGUUCUGGCAUCGAUGAAAACGCAGC
This 239-nucleotide unclassified non-coding RNA is filed under the name plant metagenome. RNAcentral's name for it is "partial contains small subunit ribosomal RNA, internal transcribed spacer 1, and 5.8S ribosomal RNA". The record is from RNAcentral.